This is a long non-coding RNA of Canis lupus familiaris (dog), 957 nucleotides long. RefSeq lists it as uncharacterized. The record is from RefSeq and is a predicted model, not a curated record. Lineage: Eukaryota; Metazoa; Chordata; Mammalia; Carnivora; Canidae. The transcript has 3 exons.
CCAACUGAGCCACCCAGGCACCCCUCAUACAUUCAUUUCUUAAUCAUAUCAUUGUAUUACGAAGCACAUAAUGCUCAACUAAUUCAAUUUAUUGAGAUAAGAAGUCAUUCUCUUUGGGUAGACGCUCAAAAUUUGAAGCUCUGAAGCAAUGAAGAGCUUGAGUGAGCCAACGUGGUCCAGGAGAAGGAUUCAUUUACAAGAGCAUCUGUGUAGUUCAGUGUGAUAGAAGUCAGAAGAAUGCAAUGCCAAUGGAAACUGAGAGGCUACUCUCUGGGUGUUACAGGAACUGUCCCAGCCUCUGUGCUGAACUCCCCUCUACCCUGAUGCAGUCUACAAUAGCAACCUCCUGCUCCAUUCAUCCUUCUCCAUCCUCUAUCUGCAGACACUCAGAGAUUAUAAAUUCCACCUACCAUUCCCACUGUUCAGAAAGCUAUAUCUGCAUUCCUCAGGGGAAGAGAAGAGUACAGAAGAUUCUUACCGUCACGAGUUAGGAGAAGAAGCCUAGUAUUCAAGAAAAAAUGGCAGUGUUAAGGAAGAGUGGUACUUCCUUGGGAGCACCAAGGAAGGAGAUACUAAUGUGGAUCAAAGUUGAUUAGGUGAACUUUUAAGCAUGGAAGUUAAGCCUUUGGCUUAGAGGAGAAUGGACAGGUUAGGUGAUUCUAGAGUAUACAACACCCUGGCAUCCGGCCUGAAAAUACAGACUAAAGGAACAAGGCAUGAUAGACCUGGGGUGAAGCAUGAAAUAUUAGAGCUGGUUUAAAAAUUAGCAUGACUGCAACAGAACAUCCAGAGGAGAGUAGCGAUAAAAACAAAACAAGGACAGCAAGUUCUCAAUGGCUCUUAACACUACAGUGAGGAGUUUGGUCUUUCCCCUGUUGCUAUCUGAGAUCUACCGAGAAUCUGCAGGCUGCAGAGUAACUUGAUGAGAGUUGUACUUUAAUAAACUAUUACAAUGAA